Molecule: ribosomal RNA, 292 nt
Filed under: uncultured bacterium
Lineage: Bacteria
Description: partial 16S ribosomal RNA
Rfam family: Bacterial small subunit ribosomal RNA
Source: RNAcentral
GUGCCAGCAGCCGCGGUAAUACAGAGGUGGCAAGCGUUGUUCGGAAUUACUGGGCGUAAAGGGCGCGUAGGCGGCCCGCCAAGUCCCGUGUGAAAGCCCCCGGCUCAACCGGGGAACGGCGCGGGAAACUAGCAGGCUUGAGUUCGGGAGAGGGAAGCGGAAUUCCGGGUGUAGCGGUGAAAUGCGCAGAUAUCCGGAGGAACACCGGUGGCGAAGGCGGCUUCCUGGACCGACACUGACGCUGAGGCGCGAAAGCUAGGGGAGCAAACGGGAUUAGAAACCCCUGUAGUCC